Molecule: long non-coding RNA, 2787 nt
Filed under: Olea europaea subsp. europaea
Lineage: Eukaryota; Viridiplantae; Streptophyta; Magnoliopsida; Lamiales; Oleaceae
Source: RNAcentral
AAUUAAACCAUAAGAUAUCAAGAUUUGAUUCAAAUCAUAGAAAAUUAUAACAAAGCCUUUCCGAUAUUUCACUCAUUCAAUAAAGGUAUCAAACAACUAAGAAACAUCAACCCUUCUGCAUGGUAUAAGCACAAUUCUUUCAAAAAUGAGAAGCAUCCACUUCUUACUAAUCAUCCUGUCCCUUUUUCAUUCUGCAAAUUCAAAGUCUUUGCUUCAUUUGAGAAGCGGUGCUUCUAUAUCUGUUGAAAGCAAUACUUUUAUCACCUCCCCAGAUAAUUCUUUUACCUGUGGCUUUUAUGAAUUGGGAAGCAACGCUUAUUGGUUUGCAAUUUGGUUCACCAAUUCUAAAGAAAGAACCGUUGUCUGGACAGCCAACCGGGACAAUCCCGUUAACAGCCAGGGGUCAAGAGUAUCUAUUCGGAGAGAUGGAACCAUCGUCUUGACAGAUGUUGAUAGAAGCAUUGUAUGGCAAACAAAUAGACGCACCACUGAUGUUUCUGCAGCUGAGCUUCUUAAUACAGGUAACCUCGUUUUGAAGAACCCACGAGGCGAUAUUCUCUGGCAAAGCUUUGAUGUUCCUACUGAUACUCUUUUACCUUCUCAAAUAUUGACCAAGGACAAAAGAUUGAUAUCAUCCUUGAGAAAAGGAAGCUUUGAAUCUGGUUACUUCAAUUUGUAUUUUGGCAGUGACAACGUUUUAUCAUUGAUAUCUGAUAGCCCUCAAAUUUCUAGCCGCUACUGGCCAAAUCCUGAUUAUGACGUCUACACAAGUGGAAGAACCAACUACAAUGGUAGCAGAUUAGCAGUUUUAGAUGAUAUGGGCAUGCUUCAAUCAAGUGAUCAUUUUCAAGCCAAUGCUUCUGAUAAAGGAUUUGGGAUAAGAAGAAGGUUAACAAUAGACCAUGAUGGAAAUCUUAGAAUCUAUAGUUUGGUUAAUUCAACAGGGCUAUGGAUGAUAACAUGGCAAGCAAUUUCACAACCUUGUCAAGUACAUGGGGCAUGUGGAAGUAAUGGCAUAUGUUUUUAUACACUGGAACCCAAGUGUAUAUGCACACCUGGGUAUGAAGUGAAUGAUCCAAAUGACUGGAAUGCUGGUUGUAAGCCAACAUUCAACAAAACCCUCUUGAAUUCAGAAGUAAAAUUCCUGGAGCUUUCUCAGACUGAUUACUUUGGGUCUGAUCUGUAUUACAAGCCGAAUUUUACGUUAAAAGCUUGCCAGGAACUCUGUAGAAGAGAUUCCACUUGCAAGGGAUUUACCUACAGGACAUGGGGAAAUGGACAUUGCUAUGUUAAAAAUGAUCUUUUUAACGGUUUUCAGUCUCCAGAUUUUCCAGGAAGUGUAUACAUUAAACUCCCCAGGAGUGUGAAAGUAUCAAAACCAUCAAUUUUUAAUGGUUCCAGCACAACGUGUGAAUCUCGAGAAGUAGAAAUUCCUGUCAUGUAUGCCUUUGCCAGAAGAACAGUGAGAUGGGUGUAUCUCUACUCAUUUUGCGCUGCACUUGGAGCACUUGAAUUGAUAUUUAUUUUAUUAGGCUGGUGGUUUCUAUUAAUGAAAUAUUGUGUUCCAGCUGGAUAUCGCAUGAUAUCCAGCCAGUUCAGGAGGUUUAACUACGCCGAACUGAAGAAAAUCACCAAUAACUUCAGGGAAGAGCUAGGACGUGGAGGCUCGGGCACCGUUUAUAAGGGUUCUCUGGCAGAUGACAGACUGGUGGCAGUGAAGAGAAUGGGAGAUGUUUUUCAAGCAGAGGACGAGUUCUGGGCGGAGAUGAGAACCAUUGGAAAGAUCAAUCAUAUAAAUCUCGUGAGAAUGUGGGGAUUUUGUUCAGAAGGGAGACACCGUCUGUUAGUAUAUGAAUAUGUCGACAACAUGUCACUUGACAAACAUCUUUUCAACUCAAAUUUUCUAGGAUGGAAACAAAGAUAUGCAGUUGCAUUAGGUACGGCCAAAGGUUUGGCCUACCUCCACCAUGAAUGUCUAGAAUGGGUUAUCCAUUGUGAUGUGAAGCCAGAAAAUAUUCUUCUAGACAACGAAUUUCAACCCAAGAUUGCAGGUUUUGGGCUUGCAAAACUGUCAAGGAGAGAUGGCCUUGGUUCAGAAAUUACAAGAAUAAGAGGGACAAAAGGCUAUAUGGCUCCGGAUUGGGCACUGAACCACCCUAUCACUGCAAAAGUUGACGUCUAUGGAUAUGGAGUUGUAGUCCUGGAGAUCAUAAAGGGAGUUAAGCUCUCAAAUUGGGUGGUAGAUGAUGCUCAAGAUCAUGAAACUCCUCUUAAAAAUCUGAGCAGGACAGUGAAGGAAAAAGCUCAGUGUGGAAACUCAUCUUGGGUAGAGAGCAUAGUGGAUCCAAGAUUGGAAGGGAAGUUUAGCAGAAAACAGGCAGCAACACUGAUUCAAGUAGGGCUUUCUUGUGUAGAGGAAGACAGAAGCAAGCGGCUAACAAUGGCUUCAGUCGUCCAAAUGCUCAUGGAAUGCGACGAUGAAACAGAACUCAAAAUUAUAGACAAACUGGAAUUGAUAUAUUAGUCUUCCACUUUUUCAUUUCUGCAAAUGCUAUUAGAAUAGUGAGUCUUGGCAAAUAAGAAAAAUGAAGAGCUAUUCCAAGCUCUAAUCUGCUUUGUAUUUUUGAUUGAUAUUACAAGUCCUUAAAGUGAGAAUAUAUGCUUGUUGUUUUUAAGUAGGUGUGAGCCCUCAUACACAUUUACUGUCGAAUGAGAAGAAAGUACCUAUUCAAGUUGUUACUAUUCAAUACUAAAUUUUCAAUCUUAAUAUUUGAAAAGUUUAAAUUA